GAUGAACGCUAGCUACAGGCUUAACACAUGCAAGUCGAGGGGAAACGACAUCGAAAGCUUGCUUUUGAUGGGCGUCGACCGGCGCACGGGUGAGUAACGCGUAUCCAACCUGCCCAUCACUUGGGAAUAACCUUGCGAAAGUAAGACUAAUACCCAAUGAUAUCCCACGAAGGCAUCGGAAUGGGAUUAAAGAUUUAUCGGUGAUGGAUGGGGAUGCGUCUGAUUAGCUUGUUGGUGGGGUAACGGCCCACCAAGGCAACGAUCAGUAGGGGUUCUGAGAGGAAGGGCCCCCACAUUGGAACUGAGCCACGGUCCAAACUCCUACGGGAGGCAGCAGUGAGGAAUAUUGGUCAAUGGGCGAGAGCCUGAACCAGCCAAGUAGCGUGCAGGAAGACGGCCCUAUGGAUUGUAAACUGCUUUUAUAAGGGAAUAAAGUGGGUCACGUGUGACUUUUUGCAUGUACCUUAUGAAUAAGGACCGGCUAAUUCCGUG
RNAcentral lists this ribosomal RNA (492 nucleotides) under uncultured bacterium. RNAcentral's name for it is "partial 16S ribosomal RNA". It matches the Rfam family "Bacterial small subunit ribosomal RNA", at positions 28 to 507 of the family's 1533-position model. The record is from RNAcentral.